GAGUGCAGCCGGCGCUGCGCGCCCGCCCCAUUGCUCUGUCCCCGGUCCGCGACCGCGACCGCGACCCCGACCCCCACGGGCCGCCUAAGCGGAGACUCUGGAAACGCCUGGGGCGGGUACCGGGUGGUCUCCGCGUCCUUCCCUUUCAACUGUUACGUCGAUGUGGACUUCAGUCACCCGUACAAAGCUGGGCUGGCCAACCCAGGUCCUCGAGAGGGGAGGUUGGGUGUCCCCGGCCGAGUUUGGUAACCAGGCAGCGGGGAGGCUGGCAGGGGAUUCUAGAAGGCGCCUGAGAACUGCGCGCCAACCGCACCGCCCCCUUGAAGGUCGGGGCCCUAUCUCCGGGAAUGGUGACAACGUUCGCUGUACGGACAGCCUGUGCCCCUGAAUGUGAAUGUCCACACUUGCUAUUUGGGGGGUCGCGGCAUCUGUAGGAAGUGAAGACGGGACGGCGAUAGGAACACACGCACAGGCGCAUCACUAGGGUCAGAACUGGGCCAACUCCGGGCGUCUACUUUGAAGCGGGCACGCCCAGGCCACGCCUGCAAACGGCGUCAGCUUCCUCUGAUCAACCGCGGUCAGCGCCAUCCACCGACCACCACUAAGCCUAUCCACCGGGGCAGAAAAGAUGACUGGUUCCUAUUCGUUAAAACUGUUGAUUGUUCCUAAAUACAUGGAUAUAUAGCUUGUACUCAGUGAAAGUUUCCAUCUAUAAGGGCCAACUGAAAUUCAGCAUAAAACAAGAAUAUUUGAAAACCUGCUACAUCAAUGCUCAGUAUUAAGGGUGAAAACGUAAAUUGGACAGUCUUUUUCACAAGAGGUUUAAAUUCAGUAAGGAAAAAAGGCAGAAAGCGUGACUCGUAGAGACAACAGGAACAAUUUUAGCAUGUUGCAAGAAGAGUAAAUGCAGUGAAUAGUCUGGUUUAACAAGAAAAUAACGCUUCUGUAGAAGGGUGUGGUGAGAGGUAAGCAACAAAGGAUGUGAUGAAAGACAUGAAAGGGCCGAGCUGGUUUUGAGCAUGAUUAAAUAGACAAGUAGCCUUGUAAAUAUGAACUUGUGGUGCCAGAAUAAUUGACUAUCCACAUAGGAAAAAUUUUUUACCCGGCGUUACACACAAAAAUAAACUCGAGGUGAAGUGCAUAUGUAAAUACGAAAGCAAAAUAUUAUACUUUGAUAAGAAAAUAUAUAAAUAUAUCUUCCUAACUUAGGCUGUUGGAAGAGUUUCAUAAAACAUUAAAAAUAAAAAUGUUAAUUAAAAAUUGACUAUAUAAGAAAAUUAAAGUUAAAGCACAAACUUGGAAAAUAUAGUUAUAAAAUAUAAAGUAUUUCUAAAAUAUGCGAAGAAAUAAUAAGAAAAAUGACACAAUAGAAAAAUGGAAAAAGAAUGUGAAAAGCAAACCAAACUUUCUGUAGUCAUCAGAAAAAUGCAAGAUAAUAUGUCACAUCCAUUAGACUGUGUAGAAAAACAGCCUGUUUCCUGGCAAGAGUGACACCAUCUUGAAGCAAAACUAUCCUGGGGACUGAUGUUUGACCCACAGCAUACCGAGGUGUUCUGCAGCAAAGGUCUUUAAACAAUGCUCAUAACAUAUAUAACCCCUCAUAAAGAUGCUUAUCUAACGUCCCCAGUGAUCACAAUAGUCUAAGAGCUAACUAGUUGCACUUGUCUUUACCCUAGAGGCUUGCUAAAUAAAGCAUACUUUCUGGAGGGCAAGUGCAGGGGUCGCUUCUGUUUGUCUCUACUAAGUAUUUCUUUCUGAGAAAUUCGAUUGGUCAGCCUCUUUGGUCUCCCAGCUUCCUCCAUCUUUGGAAGCAGGUUUCUGUAAAUUGACAAAAAUGUAAGCCUUUGAUAAUAAGUCAAGGAUGUAGUAAAAUGACAGUUCUCUGCAUUUCUUGUGGAAUUGUAAUUAUUAUAACUAUUUUUGAGAAAAAUUAAGCAAUAUCUGGUAAAGGUGAAGAUCUAAAUG
Molecule: long non-coding RNA, 1965 nt
Filed under: Homo sapiens (human)
Lineage: Eukaryota; Metazoa; Chordata; Mammalia; Primates; Hominidae
Description: non-protein coding lnc-NKAIN3-9:3
Source: RNAcentral